UUUCAAAAUAAUUGUAUGUAAAAAAAAAGCAGUUGUUUUAUUACUUUCGUCGCCCCAACGCAAUACAUAAGAUGAAAAAACCUUAUUAAACUUACAAAUCAAAGGUUGUAACUCUUAUAUAUUAAGUUUUAUAGGGUCUUGUCGUCUUUUAAGAUUAUUUAAGCCUUUUCACUUAAAUGUUAAUUUCAAUUUUUAAACCUGAAACAGGUUGCUUUUUGUCCGACCAUUCAUUCCAGUCUUCAAUUAAAAAACUAAUUAUUAUGCUACCUUCGCACGGUUAUUUAUACCGCGGCCUUUAAAAAAGAUCAAUGGGCAGGCCAGACUGUUAAUUAAAUCUAACAGACAUGUUUUUGAUAAACAGGCGA
This 365-nucleotide ribosomal RNA is filed under the name Callianassa subterranea. Its description in RNAcentral is "partial 16S ribosomal RNA". Lineage: Eukaryota; Metazoa; Arthropoda; Malacostraca; Decapoda; Callianassidae. The record is from RNAcentral.